UUUGUACAAUAAGCCUAAGUAAACUUUGUUGCAAUGCAAACAUUCUUUGGACCCAAAACGAAUUGAAAACGAUCCGCUGAGCUCGUUAAUUACAGCAAACAAAUAUUGAAAGAAUAGAGCUAUUCUUCUAUGCACAAACACAGACUAGGCCUCAGCAACAACCUCUCCUAUAUGCAAAAAGAAAGAGAGAAACAAAAGAAAGAAAGCAAACUUUUCUUGAGUGGAAGAAAUGAAUCAUGAUACAUCAGACUGCAUAGCCACCGUCGCAAGCGCAGCUACAGGUGCCGCUGUUAAUAUCUCCGUGUUGGCGAGGUUUAGUGCUG
RNAcentral lists this unclassified non-coding RNA (323 nucleotides) under Hevea brasiliensis (rubber tree). The record is from RNAcentral. Lineage: Eukaryota; Viridiplantae; Streptophyta; Magnoliopsida; Malpighiales; Euphorbiaceae.